UACGUAGGGGGCAAGCGUUGUCCGGAUUUAUUGGGCGUAAAGAGCGUGUAGGCGGCCAUGUAGGUCCGUUGUGAAAACUCGAGGCUCAACCUCGAGACGCCGAUGGAAACCAUGUGGCUAGAGUCCGGAAGAGGAGAGUGGAAUUCCUGGUGUAGCGGUGAAAUGCGCAGAGUAUCAGGAAGAACACCCGUGGCUAAGGCGGCUCUCUAGUACGGUACUGACGCUGAGACGCGAAAGCGUGGGGAGCGAACAGG
This 254-nucleotide ribosomal RNA is filed under the name uncultured bacterium. RNAcentral describes it as "partial 16S ribosomal RNA". It matches the Rfam family "Bacterial small subunit ribosomal RNA", at positions 524 to 776 of the family's 1533-position model. The record is from RNAcentral.